ACCAAAGGAAACAACCUCCACGCCAAGAAGAAAGUAUUUCACAAAAGAAAACACUGCAUUUGUGAGCAGUAUAGGAUCCAUCAUACAACCAGCAGAUCACCAUCGGCAAUAAAUCAGCCAGAAAGACAGGCAGCGGAUGGAACCAGGCGCAGGAAGAAACAAAAUGGACAGAGCCCGGACAUGAUCAUGACAGGCAAUCUUGAAGCCCUCAUCCAUGAACUCGACAACUUGCACAAAGUCAGCUUCUUUGAACUGUCUUGAGGUCAGGGCUGGAGCACCUGGGACAGACAAGAACACAAAUCCUGCAGCUUGAAAUAAAAAGAACCAUAUGGUCUUUGGAAAAAAGAAGAAUCCCAGAGCUUCUUCACAUUUCAGUAAUGAAUCCACACAGACUCCAGAUGUGUUAAAUCUACACAGAUGCUGAUAGUCGAUGGGUAACGAAGGUGCAGCCCAAAUGAGAAGGUGAUAAGUGCAGAGCAUUGUACUGCAGUUAAAAUGUCUUGCCUUAAGAUAAUGCUAAAAAUGUGGCAGUGUAGCUCUUGAACUUCCUGGAAGAUGAUUAAAAAGCCAAACAUGAUUAAUUAAUCAUGAUUUGCUCAGUGCUUGUGGCUUAAUUGGUGGCUGACUAAUUUCCAUAUGCUGAACUACAUUUUGAAAAGCUAAGUAAGAGAGAUCAAGUGAAGAGGAUGUUAACUGCAAACUAAAUUUAAAAUAAAUAAAUAAAUAAAUCACCUUGUAUUUUUAUAGAACACAAAAUGCUGA
Xiphias gladius (swordfish) is the source of this 762-nucleotide long non-coding RNA. RefSeq lists it as uncharacterized. NCBI's taxonomy places the organism in Eukaryota, Metazoa, Chordata, Actinopteri, Istiophoriformes, Xiphiidae. The transcript is spliced from 3 exons. The record is from RefSeq and is a predicted model, not a curated record.